UUGGAGCCYUGAAGCUGCCAUKCUCUCUACUGUUAAUGGAAUUGGCCAGGUGAUCCCUUUGUAGGGUUAAAGGAUGGCGAGCUUCUGAAAACUGGCUGGGGCCAGGAGAACCUGAGAAUCACUCCAUACUGGUCUGGUAGGAGGCUGGUCUGUAUCAUUUCCCCCUCCAUCUCACCAUUCGGACACACAAUCCACUAUUCAUCUCUUCAUCUGAAACGACUUGCGCUAGGACAUUGUCAUCUCAAAUAUCUGGACAAUUCAACCAUGGAYUUUUUGAAUGUGUGUAGGUCAGACACUGUGCUGACCAGUGGGGAAAUUUAAAACGGUUGUGCACAAAUGCACGAAAGAUCUACUGCAGUACUGUGUAUAUUUAAUUUGGGGUUCUAUGUAUGUUUGUCUUGUGCUGUUCACUUUAAUUUUCUCUUUAAAAAUACAUGGUAUUGAAAGCA
This is a non-coding RNA of Poecilia reticulata (guppy), 449 nucleotides long. NCBI's taxonomy places the organism in Eukaryota, Metazoa, Chordata, Actinopteri, Cyprinodontiformes, Poeciliidae. The record is from RefSeq and is a predicted model, not a curated record.